GUCCUACGGGGCGCAGCAGUAGGGAAUCUUCCACAAUGGACGAAAGUCUGAUGGAGCAACGCCGCGUGAGUGAAGAAGGGUUUCGGCUCGUAAAGCUCUUUUGGUAGUGGAGAAAGAUAGAGGUAGUAAAUGGCCUUUAUUUGACGGGAAUUACUUAGAAAGUCACGGCUAACUACGUGCCAGCAACCGCGGUAAUACGUAGGUGGCAAGCGUUGUCCGGGUUUAUUGGGCGUAAAGCGAGUGCAGGCGGGUUAAUAA
Molecule: ribosomal RNA, 258 nt
Filed under: uncultured bacterium
Lineage: Bacteria
Description: partial 16S ribosomal RNA
Rfam family: Bacterial small subunit ribosomal RNA
Source: RNAcentral